This is a ribosomal RNA of 522 nucleotides. It matches the Rfam family "Bacterial small subunit ribosomal RNA", at positions 1011 to 1533 of the family's 1533-position model.
GGAGUGCUCGAAAGAGAACCAGUACACAGGUGCUGCAUGGCUGUCGUCAGCUCGUGUCGUGAGAUGUUGGGUUAAGUCCCGCAACGAGCGCAACCCUUGUCAUUAGUUGCUACGAAAGGGCACUCUAAUGAGACUGCCGGUGACAAACCGGAGGAAGGUGGGGAUGACGUCAAGUCCUCAUGGCCCUUAUGGGUAGGGCUUCACACGUCAUACAAUGGUACAUACAGAGCGCCGCCAACCCGCGAGGGGGAGCUAAUCGCAGAAAGUGUAUCGUAGUCCGGAUUGUAGUCUGCAACUCGACUGCAUGAAGUUGGAAUCGCUAGUAAUCGCGGAUCAGCAUGUCGCGGUGAAUACGUUCCCGGGUCUUGUACACACCGCCCGUCACACCAUGGGAGCGGGUUUUACCAGAAGUAGGUAGCUUAACCGCAAGGAGGGCGCUUACCACGGUAGGAUUCGUGACUGGGGUGAAGUCGUAACAAGGUAGCCGUAUCGGAAGGUGCGGCUGGAUCACCUCCUUUCUAG